AAAAUUAUAAAAAAAAAAAAACUGUAAAAGUGUCUUUAAUAACAAAACUCAGCCAGCUGCAUCAAAUUCUUUCUCUAGAUUUUGUCAUGUGGCAACCAGCAGGUAAAAUAAAAGAUGAGGAAUAAAGGUGUCUUUUUACUGUUCCUUAGGAGCAGUAAAAAUGCCAUGGAUUUUAGUAUAAUAUAAUAAUUUCAGGAACACAAGGACGUGCACCAACGUCAACCUUCCUCCAAGAAAAUGCUAUAGUUAAACCAUUUAAAGCAGGUAGUCAAUAAAUCAAACGCGUAUCAACUAUUCUGUAGAACACGCAUGAAAAAUAGAUAAAAGAAAUAGAUAACUUAUUUUAAAUAUAUAUAUAUAUAUUUAACUUAUAUGCCAACUGAACAUUAAUUUACCUAUAACUUUUUAUUUAUAAGUAAAUUUGAUAAACUUAUAAGUCAUGCCAAACACUCUCUAAAACAUGUGAGAAUCACAUGCAAAAUAAGAAUUGUGUCUUAUGCAUAGGUAUAACCACUAGGAAUAAAAAAUUCAUUAGUUAUACACAGCGAUGAAUAACUCAGUGGUAGUUGUAUCUAUAUUUGAUAUGGUUGUAUACAUGCAGUGAUGGAUAUAUGCAUUGAUGGGUAUAGAUCAGUGGUAGCGGUAUUAUAAGAUCUCUAGCAGAAACAAAUCAGACAAUAUAUGGCCGAAUGUGUUGGUGAGCUGAAAAAUGGCCAUUGAUUUGUGUCUCUUGACCCAAUAGGUAUAUCUGUGGUCGAUCAUGCAAGCUCAGCCCAAAAUAUAUUUGUUGUGAUGCUACUAAUUUAUUUUAGAGGAAAUUAUCAAAAUAAUGUUAAAAAAAAAUUCUAAAAUUAACUAUAUUAGAUAAAUUUUUCUAUUUUUAAUAAUUAUUUGGUAGGUGAGAAAUUCGUGAAGUGAAAUUUUUGUCUACAUAAAUCCAUCAUACAUAAAAAAUAUAAAUAUGUGAGAUUUAUAUAUUUAAUGGGUGAUUUUAAUAACACCCACUUCCUUAUAUUGGUGUGAAUAAUAACAUUUAUAAUACAAUAAGCGUUGAAAUUUGACGGAAAGACUAGAAUACUCUAGUUAGUCUAAGAACCUAUUUGGCAUUGCUAUUGAAACUGU
Molecule: unclassified non-coding RNA, 1122 nt
Filed under: Hevea brasiliensis (rubber tree)
Lineage: Eukaryota; Viridiplantae; Streptophyta; Magnoliopsida; Malpighiales; Euphorbiaceae
Source: RNAcentral